CCUACGGGUGACUGCAGUGGGGAAUAUUGGACAAUGGGGGCAACCCUGAUCCAGCCAUGCCGCGUGUGUGAAGAAGGCCCUCGGGUUGUAAAGCACUUUCAGUGAGGAAGAACGCCUGGUGGUUAAUACCCAUCAGGAAAGACAUCACUCACAGAAGAAGCACCGGCUAACUCCGUGCCAGCAGCCGCGGUAAUACGGAGGGUGCGAGCGUUAAUCGGAAUUACUGGGCGUAAAGCGCGCGUAGGUGGCUUGAUAAGCCGGUUGUGAAAGCCCCGGGCUCAACCUGGGAACGGCAUCCGGAACUGUCAAGCUAGAGUGCAGGAGAGGAAGGUAGAAUUCCCGGUGUAGCGGUGAAAUGCGUAGAGAUCGGGAGGAAUACCAGUGGCGAAGGCGGCCUUCUGGACUGACACUGACACUGAGGUGCGAAAGCGUGGGUAGCAAACAGGAUUAGAUACCCUGGUAGUC
Molecule: ribosomal RNA, 465 nt
Filed under: Vreelandella stevensii
Lineage: Bacteria; Pseudomonadati; Pseudomonadota; Gammaproteobacteria; Oceanospirillales; Halomonadaceae
Description: partial 16S ribosomal RNA
Rfam family: Bacterial small subunit ribosomal RNA
Source: RNAcentral